RNAcentral lists this long non-coding RNA (490 nucleotides) under Homo sapiens (human). RNAcentral describes it as "HSALNT0156323". Lineage: Eukaryota; Metazoa; Chordata; Mammalia; Primates; Hominidae. The record is from RNAcentral.
CCAUGCUCAGCCAACAAAAAGCAUUUUAUAAUAAAGAUCCAGGCUCCGGAAGUCAGCAGGCCUCGCUGCUGGGGCACAGCCCUGACCUUCAUGCCUGAGGGAAGCUGAAUAUGCAAAACCGGACUUGGCCAGCAGCGUGCGAGCGUUUGGUGAGACAUCAGGAAGAACUGAGCUCAAAGCUGGAGGUCGAACACUGGGAUGAACACCUGGGGAAGAACUCAGGAUCUCCAUCUUUUAAAAACAUUUAAAAAAAUAGCCUUACUGGUUUUGGAAAAGCUGCAUCUACUCAUUGAAAAAAAUGCAAACCAUAUAGAAAAGAGCAUCAGAGAAAGGAAAAUCAGCUUCACCCCCCACCCCCCCGCCCCAAAGAUCACCACUGCUACCAUUUGUGGGGCCCUCCUGCCGAAUGUCUGUAGGCAUUGUGCAGACGCUCAGAGAUGCUCGGGUGCUUCUCUCCAGGCGGGGCCCGUGGCAUGGACUCUUUUGCCCA